This 460-nucleotide ribosomal RNA is filed under the name uncultured bacterium. RNAcentral's name for it is "partial 16S ribosomal RNA". It matches the Rfam family "Bacterial small subunit ribosomal RNA", at positions 338 to 795 of the family's 1533-position model. The record is from RNAcentral.
CCUACGGGUGGCAGCAGUGAGGAAUAUUGGUCAAUGGGCUUACGCCUGAACCAGCCAAGUCGCGUGAGGGAAGACUGCCCUAUGGGUUGUAAACCUCUUUUGUCAGGGAGCAACGCCGGCUACGUGUAGCCGGACUGAGAGUAUCUGAAGAAAAAGCAUCGGCGAACUCCGUGCCAGCAGCCGCGGUAAUACGGAGGAUGCGAGCGUUAUCCGGAUUUAUUGGGUUUAAAGGGUGCGUAGGCGGAAUGCCAAGUCAGCGGUAAAGUCGCGGGGCUCAACCUCGCGCCGCAGUUGAAACUGGGGUUCUUGAGUGGGCGAGAGGUAUGCGGAAUGCGAGGUGUAGCGGUGAAAUGCAUAGAUAUCACGCAGAACUCCGAUUGCGAAGGCAGCAUACCGGCGCCCAACUGACGCUGAAGCACGAAAGCGUGGGUAUCGAACAGGAUUAGAUACCCCGGUAGUC